UUAAAAAGCUCGUAGUUGGAUCUCGGCACAGGGGGCGGUUCGUUAUUUGACGGUACUGCCCCAUUUGUUCGUAUUUUCGCAAGAGGAUUGGGGGUCCCCUUUGUUGGGUGUCUCCGGUCGCUUGCAGGUUUACUUUGUAAAAAAUUAGAGUGCUCAAAGCAGGCUUACACGCUUGAAUAUUCGUGCAUGGAAUAAUAGAAUAGGAAGUCGUUUCUAUUUUGUUGGUUUUCGGAAAAUGACUUAAUGAUUAAUAGGGACAAUCGGGGGCAUUAGUAUUCAAACGACGGAGGUGAAAUUCUUGGACCGUUUGAAGACUAACUACUGCGAAAGCAUUUGCCAUGAGUGUUUUCAUUAAUCAAGAACGAAAGUUAGAGGUUCGAAGG
Molecule: ribosomal RNA, 383 nt
Filed under: uncultured eukaryote
Lineage: Eukaryota
Description: SSU rRNA
Rfam family: Eukaryotic small subunit ribosomal RNA
Source: RNAcentral